Molecule: long non-coding RNA, 246 nt
Filed under: Vigna radiata
Lineage: Eukaryota; Viridiplantae; Streptophyta; Magnoliopsida; Fabales; Fabaceae
Description: long non-coding RNA (VRAD_LNC006013)
Source: RNAcentral
CAAGGAAAAUAAGAUUGAAUCAAACUUAUUUAAGAAAAUAUAUCUAACUUCAAAUUUAAGUCAUGUAAAUGCUCCAUUAAUGAGCCAUGUAAAUGCUCCAUUAAUGUAGAGAGAGAAAGAGAAAGAUUGUUAAGGAUAGUGGGGAGGUGUAGGGUAUUUUUGGAAUAAAAGAAAAUAGUGGGGAGGUGUAGAAUAUUUUUGAAAUAAAUUAAAUUAAUGGGGAGGUACAGGUCCCACUUGGGGAGG